Molecule: long non-coding RNA, 675 nt
Filed under: Vitis vinifera (wine grape)
Lineage: Eukaryota; Viridiplantae; Streptophyta; Magnoliopsida; Vitales; Vitaceae
Description: long non-coding RNA (VVIN_LNC005704)
Source: RNAcentral
CUUUCUCCUCUCUUCAUCGACAACGACAAGCUCGACACUCCUCCACUGACGGCGACCUCUCCUCCAUUGGUGCACGUUGAAUUUUCAUAUCCUUGUAGGGAUUUCCGUACACCAUAUUCAUCCCUAUGAAAAUCUACAAGUGAGAGAGACCGCCUUUUCUUUUGCAUCUUUGACAUAAAUCUAGGCUAACGAUCUUCUCGUUGAUUGAAAUGGAUCUUUUACUUUGUCAUUCAUGAAGAAUAAUCAAAAGGCUUUGGGGUCAUUUCAAGUUUGCUUUGGGUUGGUUGGUGGACAAGGUAUUUGAAGAAGACACUUGGAUAUUAUAGGGCUUUUCUGGGCUAUCUAGCACUACUAGCCUUUGUGAAGAUACGACAUGGCCGAUGGAAGAGUGGCUGUUGUUGAUAGGAGGGCGGAGCUUGCCAUUGGUGGAAUACGAGAGUUAUCAUUGAUGAAGAGAGGAGAUGGAUGGGGUUCACGUGGUGCUGAAGAGCUGAGAUGAGUAAAGGCUAGGGUUUCUUAUGUUUUAUUAUUUUAUUCAUAUUUUUUUUAAUCCUAUAUCGUUCGUAUAUGUGGCAUGCUGACAUGCUAUGGAUUAUAUGACAUAGGCUUAUGUUGAUGUAGCUUUUGUGACCAUUCCAAGUUUUAGUUAUGUGGGUGUUUGGGAAUUCUUUGCCG